UUUCUUUUAUUUUGUGAUACUAGGUAGAAUCUCGAACGUAAUAGAUUUAUGUGAUCUCUAAUUAGGUGACGAUUGUCUUUUUUUUUUCUCAUCUAUGUUAACUAAUUUUCAUUUUUGUUUCCUCUUAUAUUCGUACAAAUUCUAACCAUACUAGAUACUUUAUGUUUGUUACAUAUACAAAUAAAAUGUCCAUAACUUUGCUUAGUGUUGUGGAUCUAAACCA
RNAcentral lists this small RNA (223 nucleotides) under Arabidopsis thaliana (thale cress). Its description in RNAcentral is "ATSL025660". Lineage: Eukaryota; Viridiplantae; Streptophyta; Magnoliopsida; Brassicales; Brassicaceae. The record is from RNAcentral.